AGGGCCUCAGAGGGGCUAGGGGCUGUGGGGCCCAGGGUGGAGCUGUGGAGCCGGGUGGGGCUAUAGGGUCUCAGAGCGGCUGUGGGGCCUGAGCAGGGGUGAGGAGGGCUGUGGCUGUGGGGCCUGAGAGGUGGUGCAGUGCAGUGAGGCCAGGUGGGGUUACGAGGUCUGAGAGGGGCUGUGGGGCUAUGGAGCCCAAGCAGGGGUCAGGGGAGAGG
Cygnus olor (mute swan) is the source of this 218-nucleotide long non-coding RNA. RefSeq lists it as uncharacterized. Lineage: Eukaryota; Metazoa; Chordata; Aves; Anseriformes; Anatidae. The transcript has 3 exons. The record is from RefSeq and is a predicted model, not a curated record.